Molecule: long non-coding RNA, 2015 nt
Filed under: Nicotiana benthamiana
Lineage: Eukaryota; Viridiplantae; Streptophyta; Magnoliopsida; Solanales; Solanaceae
Description: long non-coding RNA (NBEN_LNC015308)
Source: RNAcentral
ACAUGCUCAAAAAUACCUUUCUGCUCAAAAUAUUGAUUUUAAAUAACAAACAUCAAUGCAAAAGGUUGUUAUUAUCAUUCACUAAUUACUUCUCGCAUAAGUUCAACUUCAUUAACUAGUCUAUGAGUUUACAAAGUCCAGUCCAAUUUAUUACAAAUCCUAGAAUUAAAUAGGGUAUAAAAUAUAAACAAUGUUGGUGCCUUAAACUAAAUUACAACAAAAUGAAAGGAAGAGUUUCCUAAACAUCUAUUGCUCCAGCUUUAAAUGAGCCAAGAUUCUCAUGAGUUUGACCAUGUGAAAAGGUUAGAUUCACAAAGCAUCUUCAAAUGUAAGGAUCUAUAAUGUUAUCAAGUUAAUCCUAAUACAAGAACGAGCAAAGGAAAGUAAUGAUGUCCAUAAGUCUAAUCGUGUCUUAAGGUUAGCCCUACAGAUAAAAAAAGAUUUUCAAAAUCAUAAUUUACUCCAUAGUUCUCAUAUCAGUAAAGGAGAAAAGAGGGAAAGGGAAAAUAACUUAGACAUAUACUAAAGGGGUCAAUACUAUUAUACAUUAUUAAGGGAUGAGUCUGACCAUUUAAAGGUUCAUAUUCACUUUUCUUUUGUACUGCUAUAAAAGGGGAAUUUUAAACAUUGUUUUAUAUAGGUAUAUACACUGAUUCACCAAUCAACCUUGUCAAGCAUAAUAUCACAGAUUUCAUGAUUGAAUUCAAUAGCCAUUUAAGCUAAUAUUAACACAUGGUUUACUCAACCCUAGAUUAAACAAAUUAUAAUUUUCAGAACUAACAUCAAAGAUUAGUUAACCAGAACAAUUCCCAAAUACAUAUAGUGAAUUCAACAUUAAUUACAUUCAAGAUGAACAUUGUACAUACCUUGAAAAUUAAAAAUGCAGCAGAGAAAUGACCAAAUAAAGGUCAGAAAACCAAGGCUGAUUUUAAAGCUUAGAUCAACAGCAAUCAAUUAACAACUACUUGGAAAUUUUCAACUAAAAAUCAGCAAGAAAGAACUCAUAAUUUCAACUAGUAGAAUCCCAGCUAAAAGAAAACGCACAGCUUGAAAAUCAAAAAUCCCAAAUAAAACACCUAAGAAAGACCCUCUUAGCUUUAAACCAUUAUUUCUAACUUGUGAAAACCAAAGGGGAGAAGUUUUUUAUUGAAGUUUCUCCUAAAAUUUCUGAAAUAUGAUUUUUCCAGAAAAGGAAGAGAGACGUUUUGCACUGAAAAUGAUGCUCAAAUCUGUAUGUGUGAGUGAAGGAAAGUUUUCUUUUUAUAGAGUACCCAAAAAAGAAUCAAAAGAAUAGAAUAUUCUGACCUAAUUCCUUAUACUGUAGAAUAGUACAACAUUUAUAUAUACAGUUGUCCGUCCUUUUUCUUAUCCAAUUCCAAUGUUUUAUGCUAAGGAUAGGGACAACCGUGAUAUUCUUUGAACAUUCUGAUAUUUGACUUUGUUAAAGUCCAUUUUUACCCUUUCAAGAUAUUUCAAUUUUAACCAAUUCAGACCUACUAUUCAAAUUAUUUAGAUUAAUCGUUAGCCCCUUCUAGAAACUUCUAGGCAAUUCCAGACUUAGAACCACUUUCCCUAAUUUACUGUUUCAAUUCUUAAGCCAUUCAAAAGCUUAAACUAAAAUUGACUAAAAUGAAACAACCUAGCCAAAAGAAAAUCCUAAUUGAACCUAAGCUAAUUACUGAAUCGGGGCAUCUACUAAUUGAAAAAUUAACUCAAAUUCUACAACAACAAACAAAAGAGAAGAAGAAGAAAAAAAAUAACAGAAAAGCAACAAUCAAAAAUAGAAACAGUAAUGACUAAUUCAAUUAUCCUAAAUUUGAUUAAAUUAACAACUCAUGCAAAUUGAGUAUCAAGAUUCAAACAUGCUUCAAUCACUCAAGAACAAGUAAACAACUAAGCAGCCGUGAAUAAAGAAAAAGAAAAAAAUAAAGUCUAAAAUUAAACCUAAACAUGCGGCUAAUCGGAGAUGUGAACAAGAAGAGGGAAAAGAAAACAGAAGAGUAGACGGGAAAUAC